Molecule: transfer RNA, 78 nt
Filed under: Candidatus Thorarchaeota archaeon
Lineage: Archaea; Promethearchaeati; Candidatus Thorarchaeota
Description: tRNA-Val
Rfam family: tRNA
About the family: Transfer RNA (tRNA) molecules are approximately 80 nucleotides in length.
Source: RNAcentral
GGGCCGAUAGUCCAGCUUGGUUAGGACAUCGCGUUCACACCGCGAAGGUCGCCGGUUCAAGUCCGGCUCGGCCCACCA